GACGAGUAGGUCAUCUGGACUGCAUGGCACUCAAGUACGAUACUACCCGUCAGUGGGACAUCAUAGAGGGUGACAAUCCCGUCUUUGGUGCUGAUGUUCGAGUCCUUUACGAUGCCUAUCUCAGGAGAGUCGAGUAGUUUGGGAUUUGCUGCUUGAACAUGGGAGGUAGACACCUUCUAAAGCUAAAUAUUGGCAAGAGACCGAUAGUGGACAAGUACCGCAAGGGAAAGAUGAAAUAGCACUCUGUAAAGGGAGUCAAAAGGCGUGAAAUUGUUGCGAGAGAAGCGAUUCAAGUCAGCUUGACUAGGCCCAUGAUGACAUCCGUCCUCUGGACUAGUCUCGCCAGCGGUCUCAUCUUAUUACGGUUUGACUAAGGUGCGGUACAUCCUCAACGCACGGCUGGUGGAAUGGCUUGCAAUCGACCCGUCUUGAAACACGGACCAAGGAGUCUAACAUGCAUGCAAGUAUAAGGGUGACAAACCCGUAUGCGCAAUGAAAGUGACUUUCAGUGAUUGUUGUGUGGCUUGACGACCAGACAGGAAAUAUCAUGUCCCUCGGAUGGCCACUGCCCAAGUUCUGUGGUACGAACCCAUGAACAUGGAGACGGAGCAUGCAUGCUAGGACCCGAAAGAUGGUGAACUAUGCCUGGACAGAGCGAAGCCAAAGGAAACUCUGGUGGAGGCUCGUAGCGAUUCUGACGUGCAAAUCGAUCGUCUGAUCUGGGUAUAGGGGCGAAAGACUAAUCGAACCAUCUCAUAGCUGGUUCCUGCC
This 771-nucleotide ribosomal RNA is filed under the name Cantharellus platyphyllus f. platyphyllus. RNAcentral describes it as "LSU rRNA". It matches the Rfam family "Eukaryotic large subunit ribosomal RNA", at positions 151 to 962 of the family's 3401-position model. Lineage: Eukaryota; Fungi; Basidiomycota; Agaricomycetes; Cantharellales; Hydnaceae. The record is from RNAcentral.